This 982-nucleotide ribosomal RNA is filed under the name Liancalus sp. NCSU-95051152. RNAcentral describes it as "eukaryotic LSU rRNA". It matches the Rfam family "Eukaryotic large subunit ribosomal RNA", at positions 1469 to 2322 of the family's 3401-position model. The record is from RNAcentral. Lineage: Eukaryota; Metazoa; Arthropoda; Insecta; Diptera; Dolichopodidae.
AAUCGAAUGAGAUCUUGGAGGACUGAAGUGGAGAAGGGUUUCGUGUGAACAGUGGUUGAUCACGAGUUAGUCGGUCCUAAGUUUAAGGCGAAAGCCGUAAAAAUUUAAAGUUUUGCCCUUUGGUAAUAUAAAACACUUUAUAUUUAAUUAAACGAAAGGGAAUACGGUUCCAAUUCCGUAACCUGUUGAGUAUACGUUUGUAAUAAAUAUGGUCAUUAUGAUCAUCCUGGUAACAGAAACAAUCAUAGAGAAGCCGUCGAGAGGUAUCGGAAGAGUUUUCUUUUCUGUUUUAUAGUUGUAUUACCAUGGAAGUCUUUCGAAGAGAGAUAUGGUAAAUGAACUAGAAGAGCAUGGCAUUUACUGCUGUGUCGAUAUUUUCUCCUCGGACCUUGAAAAUCUAUGAUUGGGCCACGCAAACUUCUCAACAGGCCGUACCGAUAUCCGCAGCUGGUCUCCAAGGUGAAGAGUCUCUAGUCGAUAGAAUAAUGUAGGUAAGGGAAGUCGGCAAAUUAGAUCCGUAACUUCGGGAUAAGGAUUGGCUCUGAAGAUUGAGAUAAUCGGGCUUGAUUGGGAAACAAUAAAGUGGUGCAUGUACUCGUUCUGGAUAAAUAGAAUUUAAUAUGAAAUUACUUCAUAUUAUUUUUGUUCUCCGGAUAGAAGUUACAUAGCCAGUUGUGGAACAUUCUUGCUAAUAAUAUACUGGAUAAUAUUAUUUGAAAGAAUUUUAUUAUUUAUAUAUUUUAUAACGGUUAUCAAUUAACAAUCAAUUCAGAACUGGCACGGACUUGGGGAAUCCGACUGUCUAAUUAAAACAAAGCAUUGUGAUGGCCCUAGCGGGUGUUGACACAAUGUGAUUUCUGCCCAGUGCUCUGAAUGUCAAAGUGAAGAAAUUCAUUUAAGCGCGGGUUAACGGCGGGAGUAACUAUGACUCUCUUAAGGUAGCCAAAUGCCUCGUCAUCUAAUUAGUGACGCGCAUGAAUGG